AUUGAACGCUGGCGGCGGGCUUAACACAUGCAAGUCGAGCGGGGAGAUGUAGCUUGCUACAUUUCCUAGCGGCGGACGGGUGAGUAAUGCUUAGGAAUCUGCCUAUUAGUGGGGGACAACAUUCCGAAAGGAAUGCUAAUACCGCAUACGCCCUACGGGGGAAAGCAGGGGAUCUUCGGACCUUGCGCUAAUAGAUGAGCCUAAGUCAGAUUAGCUAGUUGGUGGGGUAAAGGCCUACCAAGGCGACGAUCUGUAGCGGGUCUGAGAGGAUGAUCCGCCACACUGGGACUGAGACACGGCCCAGACUCCUACGGGAGGCAGCAGUGGGGAAUAUUGGACAAUGGGCGAAAGCCUGAUCCAGCCAUGCCGCGUGUGUGAAGAAGGCCUUUUGGUUGUAAAGCACUUUAAGCGAGGAGGAGGCUACUUGGAUUAAUACUCUAGGAUAGUGGACGUUACUCGCAGAAUAAGCACCGGCUAACUCUGUGCCAGCCGCCGCAGUAA
RNAcentral lists this ribosomal RNA (501 nucleotides) under uncultured bacterium. RNAcentral describes it as "partial 16S ribosomal RNA". It matches the Rfam family "Bacterial small subunit ribosomal RNA", at positions 30 to 523 of the family's 1533-position model. The record is from RNAcentral.